CGCGUAUAGCCAAAUGAGUCGCUGUCAGAUCAAGAACUGGCACGAUCCUGACAGCCAAGACUGUGAGUGAAGAAUGAUAUGCCUUAGGUAUAAGCAUCAGUUGUUCAGUGAUUACAACUUUGUACAUGUGUACAUCUGUGAUGAGCUAUUCCAGUAGAGGAGCAAUUAAGGGUGUUAAGGUCGGCUCGGGAAGCUUCAUGCUAAGUGUCACUAGCACACCAACCAGUGCAGAUAUGGCUGGAACAAGCCCAAGCCCGUAUCUGGUAAUAGAAAGAGAGAAUACAGGAUUGCAGUUCCGCACUUCAUCUGGAGUCGAGCCUGCCCAACAUGUAGGAACCUUAGCUCAAAGAAGCAGAUGGCCUUGAAUGAAAUUUUAUUAUGACAAACGUCUUGUUUGAGUUUAAAGGAUGCAACCGAAAUACGCAUAUAAUGCUACUCCACAUAUUAUUUUGUCCAUAAAGCUCAAUGAUCCAUAAACAAAGGCACAUCCAUUGAGAUCUCGACCAACUAGGAAGCUCUGCAUGCUCACCCCUG
Salvia splendens (bonfire salvia) is the source of this 534-nucleotide long non-coding RNA. RefSeq lists it as uncharacterized. The record is from RefSeq and is a predicted model, not a curated record. Lineage: Eukaryota; Viridiplantae; Streptophyta; Magnoliopsida; Lamiales; Lamiaceae. The transcript is spliced from 3 exons.